Molecule: transfer RNA, 65 nt
Filed under: Ectomocoris horridus
Lineage: Eukaryota; Metazoa; Arthropoda; Insecta; Hemiptera; Reduviidae
Description: tRNA-Leu
Source: RNAcentral
CUUAAUGUGGCAGAUUAGUGCGUUGAAUUUAAGCUUCAUUAAUAAAGAAUAUUCUUUCAUUAAGA